Molecule: ribosomal RNA, 217 nt
Filed under: uncultured bacterium
Lineage: Bacteria
Description: partial 16S ribosomal RNA
Rfam family: Bacterial small subunit ribosomal RNA
Source: RNAcentral
UGUAUGGGGAUCUGCCCGAUAGAGGGGAAUAACUACUGGAAACGGUGGCUAAUACCGCAUAAUGUCUACGGACCAAAGCAGGGGCUCUUCGGACCUUGCACUAUCGGAUGAACCCAUAUGGGAUUAGCUAGUAGGUGGGGUAGAGGCUCACCUAGGCGACGAUCUCUAGCUGGUCUGAGAGGAUGAUCAGCCACACUGGGACUGAGACACGGCCCAG